UACAGAGGUCUCAAGCGUUGUUCGGAUUCAUUGGGCGUAAAGGGUGCGUAGGCGGCGCGGUAAGUCGGGUGUGAAAUUUCGGAGCUUAACUCCGAAACUGCAUUCGAUACUGCCGUGCUUGAGGACUGGAGAGGAGACUGGAAUUUACGGUGUAGCAGUGAAAUGCGUAGAGAUCGUAAGGAAGACCAGUGGCGAAGGCGGGUCUCUGGA
RNAcentral lists this ribosomal RNA (210 nucleotides) under uncultured bacterium. Its description in RNAcentral is "partial 16S ribosomal RNA". It matches the Rfam family "Bacterial small subunit ribosomal RNA", at positions 524 to 733 of the family's 1533-position model. The record is from RNAcentral.